GGAAAACAAAAAAAAUUUAUGAAAUUUUAUUGGGGUAAUUUAUAAAGAAGGCAUAGGGCCAAUGAGACCAAUUACCUCACUGUCCCACUCUUAAAAUUAUUGUUUCUGUCCAUAUAUACAAUCAAAACUUCAUACGACCAGACUACAAUUAUUUCAGCGUGGGGCUCGCGAGCUACAGAGAUUCCCUGACUUGCGCAGCUUUACACAGACAAGCCCCGCCAUGCAGAGCCUUGCAUAUUUUUUUCUUCAGAAAUUGUAAAGAGUCAAAGAAGGCUAAGAAAUAAAAGGGCAAAACAUAAGGCGUAAUCUCAUAGUAUUUAAUACGUAUAUACAUAGAGAUUCACCUAUUUAAUGUGAAUAUCACGUAUUUAUAUCAACCGCAAAUACCUCAAGCUCAUCACAAUCACCCUCAUCUUCUCUACUUGGCCGCAAAAUUAAAAAUUUUCAAUACUAAAAUGAAGAAAGCUCAGCUUGUGUUCAUCCCCUGGCCCGACAUUGGCCACCUUGUCUCAGAGGUGGAGGCAGCAAAGCUUCUUCUUACCCACCAUCAACAGCUCUCCAUCACAGUACUUAUCCUCAACCAUUCUUCUGUCAACCCCAAAGUUCAUAACUACAUCGAAUCGCAGCAAGCUUCCUUGUCUACUAUAUCCAAUCGUCUCCGAAUCAUUGAUCUACCCAAAGGCGAGACUGACUUUUCUUUCGUUGAGAGACAGAAACCCCAUGUCAAAGAAGCUGUGUUGAGGAUUACUGAGUCUGAGUCAAACAUCGAAUCGCCCCAGUUGGCGGGUUUUGUUGUCGAUAUGUUAUGCACGCCCAUAAUAGAUGUGGCCAAUGAAUUUGGCGUUCCAUCUUACAUUUUCUUUCCUUCAAGUGCAGCUUCUCUUGGUUUAUUGCAUUAUGUUCAGAAGAUUCAUGAUGAAGAGAAA
This 926-nucleotide unclassified non-coding RNA is filed under the name Hevea brasiliensis (rubber tree). Lineage: Eukaryota; Viridiplantae; Streptophyta; Magnoliopsida; Malpighiales; Euphorbiaceae. The record is from RNAcentral.